CAUUGUUUAUCUGAGUCUCAAUCCACUCCAUCAGCAGCUCAAUAUAUUUUUGUGCAGGCAGCGCAGUGGGUUUUUUGUAUCUAUAAUUUAAUAAUGAAAUAGCCACCUGACAUUGUCGGACACGUAGUCUCAUUGCAGAAUUCAGACACCGUACCAUAAAUGAGAUUGAUGCGAUUGAAGAAGUCAACAACUGUAAAAGAAGAGCAAUAUAUUAUUGAAAGAAGAGCCAGUCAUGCAAUACAAAGAUGGGACAUCUAGAAUAAACUCUUCCGCACAACAUCAGGAGCAUCGGGGUUCCCGAACGAUCACACCUUAUCUAAUGGCUGUCCAGCACUAAUAAUUGGCAGCUCUAGAGAGUAAAGAACCUGAGUAACUACGAUGUUGAGCGUGAGCUGCCGUCCAAAUGCUUUGUGUGAAAAACUUCGUUCUUGAUGUCUCAUCUACAUAUGAA
Drosophila hydei is the source of this 451-nucleotide long non-coding RNA. RefSeq lists it as uncharacterized. NCBI's taxonomy places the organism in Eukaryota, Metazoa, Arthropoda, Insecta, Diptera, Drosophilidae. The transcript has 3 exons. The record is from RefSeq and is a predicted model, not a curated record.